RNAcentral lists this ribosomal RNA (467 nucleotides) under uncultured bacterium. Its description in RNAcentral is "partial 16S ribosomal RNA". It matches the Rfam family "Bacterial small subunit ribosomal RNA", at positions 28 to 506 of the family's 1533-position model. The record is from RNAcentral.
GACGAACGCUGGCGGCGUGCUUAACACAUGCAAGUCGAACGGAAAGGCCCUGCUUUUGUGGGGUGCUCGAGUGGCGAACGGGUGAGUAACACGUGAGUAACCUGCCCUUGACUUUGGGAUAACUUCAGGAAACUGGGGCUAAUACCGGAUAGGAGCUCCUGCUGCAUGGUGGGGGUUGGAAAGUUUCGGCGGUUGGGGAUGGACUCGCGGCUUAUCAGCUUGUUGGUGGGGUAGUGGCUUACCAAGGCUUUGACGGGUAGCCGGCCUGAGAGGGUGACCGGCCACAUUGGGACUGAGAUACGGCCCAGACUCCUACGGGAGGCAGCAGUGGGGAAUAUUGCACAAUGGGCGGAAGCCUGAUGCAGCAACGCCGCGUGCGGGAGGACGGCCUUCGGGUGGUAAGCCGCUUUCGCCUGUGACGAAGCGUGAGUGACGGUAAUGGGGAAAGAAGCACCGGCUAACUACGU